RNAcentral lists this ribosomal RNA (440 nucleotides) under uncultured bacterium. RNAcentral describes it as "bacterial SSU rRNA". It matches the Rfam family "Bacterial small subunit ribosomal RNA", at positions 338 to 795 of the family's 1533-position model. The record is from RNAcentral.
CCUACGGGAGGCUGCAGUGGGGAAUAUUGGACAAUGGGCGCAAGCCUGAUCCAGCAAUGCCGCGUGAGUGAAGAAGGCCUUAGGGUUGUAAAGCUCUUUCGGCGGGGACGAUGAUGACGGUACCCGCAGAAGAAGCCCCGGCUAACUCCGUGCCAGCAGCCGCGGUAAUACGGAGGGGGCAAGCGUUGUUCGGAGUCACUGGGCGUAAAGGGCGCGUAGGCGGUGGAGCGAGUCAGGCGUGAAAGCCCCGGGCUUAACCUGGGAAUUGCGCUUGAUACUGCUUUGCUUGAGACCGGGAGAGGAUGGCGGAAUUCCCAGUGUAGAGGUGAAAUUCGUAGAUAUUGGGAAGAACACCGGUGGCGAAGGCGGCCAUCUGGACCGGAUCUGACGCUGAGGCGCGAAAGCGUGGGGAGCAAACAGGAUUAGAUACCCCGGUAGUC